AUGCAAAAUGGCAGCACACAAAACUUGUCCAAAUAUGUGAAAUUCGAUUUUAAUGUUGUCUUUUUAUUUAGACCCUUCUAAGAACCUUUAUUUUUCAUGUAUUCUCUCCGUUCUUUUAUUAGGUUUUAGUAUUUAAGAUUUGGACAAUUCUACUAAACGUAACAAACCUUU
Molecule: small RNA, 171 nt
Filed under: Arabidopsis thaliana (thale cress)
Lineage: Eukaryota; Viridiplantae; Streptophyta; Magnoliopsida; Brassicales; Brassicaceae
Description: ATSL042000
Source: RNAcentral